UGGUUUUGGUUUGAUUUUCUAAUCUUAGCUUUAAAGUUUAAAGCUUAAAGAUAAUGCAUAACACUAAUGUUUUAUGUCAGUUAUUCUGAAUUAUACUAGGUUAUGGUAUAAGCAAUGCAUAAAUACUGUAUCUUGUUAAACAUUCUACAGUGUUCACUCCUUCCUUGGCUAUUCAGUUCCAUUACUUAAUUUAAAAAACAAAUACAUUUAGUAAAUGCUGCUGUAGGAUGGAAAUAAGGAUCAGGGUGUUCCCUAAUAUAUUCAGCUUGUUGUCAUUAAAGCUACAAAGACCUGCAAUUUAGCCACCUCGAAUUUUGGUUAUUCGUUAAACUUUUGUUGCUCUCAAUACACCCAAAAACUCCAGCACUGACAUGCUGUAGUACAAAGCUGCACUGCAAAACCAGGUGAUUCCUGUAAACAUAAAUCCACAGUAGUAUCCAUCUAGCACUGGAAUAUUCUAAAUGUGGAACAAUGAUGCGACUCAUUAACAGGAGAUUUUUCUUCCUGUGUGUCCACAGAACAGAGACAGCAGUUAUUUCCGUAGUAUG
Molecule: long non-coding RNA, 548 nt
Organism: Anas platyrhynchos (mallard)
Lineage: Eukaryota; Metazoa; Chordata; Aves; Anseriformes; Anatidae
Source: RefSeq, a predicted model, not a curated record